GUGGGGACCUUCACAAAUAGAGGCAUAAACCUUUCUUUGGUCAGGGAUAUUCGAGUAGCUGCACUUCCCUGCUAGAACAAGCUCCCAAGGUCCAUUUGUUGGAGAACGUAGGGUAGUCAAGCUUCCAAGACUCUAGACACAUCCAAGGGAUGGGAGCUCAAGGAAAGAAAAGACAGAAGCUU
Molecule: small RNA, 182 nt
Filed under: Phascolarctos cinereus (koala)
Lineage: Eukaryota; Metazoa; Chordata; Mammalia; Diprotodontia; Phascolarctidae
Description: 7SK RNA (ENSPCIG00000011087.2)
Rfam family: 7SK RNA (bases 1-151)
About the family: 7SK was discovered as an abundant small nuclear RNA in the mid-70s but a possible function has only recently been suggested. Two independent studies have found that 7SK RNA binds the CDK9/cyclin T complex (known as elongation factor P-TEFb).
Source: RNAcentral